UUUAUGGAGAGUUUGAUCUUGGCUCAGGACGAACGCUGGCGGCGUGCCUAAUACAUGCAAGUCGAGCGCAGGAAGCAAACUGACCCCUUCGGGG
RNAcentral lists this ribosomal RNA (94 nucleotides) under Oceanobacillus polygoni. RNAcentral describes it as "partial 16S ribosomal RNA". It matches the Rfam family "Bacterial small subunit ribosomal RNA", at positions 1 to 93 of the family's 1533-position model. Lineage: Bacteria; Bacillati; Bacillota; Bacilli; Caryophanales; Bacillaceae. The record is from RNAcentral.